AUAGAGACUCAGAGCUGCAUAUCAAUAAGCGGAGGAAAAGAAACUAACAAGGAUUCCCCUAGUAACGGCGAGUGAAGCGGGAAGAGCUCAAAUUUGAAAUCUUAAAGGGUUCUACCUUGACGAAUUGUAGUUUAUAGAAGUGUUUUCUGUAGUGGAGUUUGGUAAAAGUUCUUUGGAAUAGGACAUCAUAGAGGGUGAGAAUCCCGUAUUUGACCAUUAUCUUCCAGCUGUGUGAUACACUUUCAAAGAGUCGGAUUGUUUGGGAAUGCAGUCCAAAAUGGGUGGUAAAUUUCAUCUAAAGCUAAAUAUUGGCGAGAGACCGAUAGCGAACAAGUACCGUGAGGGAAAGAUGAAAAGAACUUUGAAAAGAGAGUUAAACAGUACGUGAAAUUGUCAAAAGGGAAGCGUUUGACACCAGUGUUGUUUUCUCGAAAAUCAAUUAAAAAUGACCGGAUUUUGUGUUGUAUUGACUUUAUCAGCUUUCUGCACUUUUUUCUUGUCUUUUUUAAUGCACUUUUCGUUUAACAAGUCAACAUCAAUUUCUUAUGCUGUAAAAGGGUCAUUGGAAGGUGGCUUUCUUUUCGGAGAAAGUGUUUAUAGCCUUUGGCUUCUGCAGUCGGAGAGAUUGAGGUCUGCAACGUAGAUCCUUCGGGGUUAGAUGCAUUUGUGCUAAGUUAUAGCCUUUCAUAGACAACUUGUUGACUACGAUCAGUCAUGUAGCUUACUCGCUUAUGUCAUUUUACCUACGCUUAGGAUGUUGAUAGUCACAGCGUGUAC
Molecule: ribosomal RNA, 777 nt
Filed under: uncultured Neocallimastigales
Lineage: Eukaryota; Fungi; Neocallimastigomycota; Neocallimastigomycetes; Neocallimastigales
Description: partial large subunit ribosomal RNA
Rfam family: Eukaryotic large subunit ribosomal RNA
Source: RNAcentral